GAAGAGGCAAAAGAAAACAACGGAAAGGAGGAAGAGGUGAAAGAAACCAAUGAAACUAAAGAAGAGAAACCUGACCAGGAAAUUGAAGUGGAGGAAGAGAAGCCGGAAACCAAGAGUGAGGCAAUGGAAGAAGAGCCAGAUAAUAAGGAUGAGGAAAUGGCUGAAGAGCCAGAUAAUAAGGAUGAGGAAGAGGAAAUGGCUGAAGAGCCAGAUAAUAAGGAUGAUGAUGAAGAAAUGGCUGAAGAGCCAGAGAACAAGGAUGAGGAUGCUAGAGAGGAGGGUGAGAAAGAGGAUAACAAAACCAAUGAAAAGCAUAAAGAUGAAGGGGGGUCUAAGAAGAGUGUUAAAUCAAAGGGGCAGAAAGACAAUAAAAGGAAACGAGAAGUUGCACCAAAGAAGGAGAAGGAGCCAAAAACUCCUGCACCCCCAACAAUUGACCGCCCUGUACGCGAACGCAAAUCUGUUGAAAGGCUUGUUGCAUCUAUUGACAGAGAAGCCAACAAGGAAUUCCGUAUUGAAAAGGUCUGCUAUACAAUUACUGAUAUUUGUUGCCUUUUCUCCCUCUGUAUUUCCAGAUUUUAGGCCCCUCACUGCACAUUUAUUGUUGCUUAUGAGAUGAAUUUAUGUUUUAUGUGCUCUGCAGGGUCGUGGAACUGCACUAAAAGAUAUCCCCAAUGGUAUUCUACUUACUGAUUCCUUAAGUUUUAGCUGUCAUUUUUUUCUAGUAUGGUAUCUCUAUUGUAAAAUUCAGUUGCGUCCUCACCUCAUAAGAUUCAUAUAGCUGCAAAUUAACAUUGUCAAUGACUCAACAUAGCGUUAAUGCUGCAGAACAGAAAGUCAUUUUCUUAUGAUAUGUGCUCCCUCCCUCCCUCCCCCCUCCACACACAAGAAAAAAAUAAUCUUGCUUUUGUGGCAUAACUUUAUAGCUUUGCGAACAGCAAAACAAGUAUACCUCAAUCCCUGGGAAGGUCUACUCUAUGAAAAUUAGUUUCUCUAGCAUUGGAUAUUCUUUACAUCAUUUCUGAUAUAUAAAUAUAACAAGACUCCUAACAAACAUUGGAUCCAAUGUAAAUGCACUAACAUGACUAAAGCUUAAUCCCAAUGAAAUGGUAUUGUAGGUUUGCGUGCCAUCCAAGUGAUGUAGGUCUCUCACUACAGCUUCCAUGUGCUAUGUCUGGAUGAGAUUUUAUUACUCUGCGAAAGGAUAUAGAAAUUUGCUGCUUCUAGUAAUUGCCUCUGUUACUAUGUACUUGUUCUUUGUCUACUUCUGCUCCUACAAAUAUAGGUAUAGAGUUUAAGAGACAAAUUAUUUGCAUCUGAGGUCAGUUUCCAGGGUUGGAUCCAGUGGUUCCUCACCAGGUUCAUCCGAACCCGGCAUUUUCAACACAGAACAAACUUUUAUUAGAAAACCACAAAAAAUUCAAGAAAUAUUGUAUUUGAAACCAUAAUUUUGAAAGUAUAAUGAGUUAAGUGCUAAGAACCUUAAAGGUUGAACCUGUCAAGUUAAGAUCUUGAAACCUGUCCUCUCCUUCUUUUAUCUUUUUGUCCCUUUUGUGUAUCAGGAUAGGUUAUUGAAAUUCUCUAGUGAUCAAAUGCCCCUAUAGACGAUCAAAAGGACAGUCUCUAGUGAUCCAAUACUUCGCUAAGCAGCCUAGUUUUGUUGGUGCAUCUUUUACUCAUUUGUGGUAGUGUGGUUUUAUAUUGCCAGUCACUGUUCUUCUUGUGUUUUGGCACAUCUAAUUUUCUGAUGUCUAAUGAUUUCAGCUGAAAUUUUUUGAUCACUGGAACUUCUUUUUCAUUCCUUUUUUUAUUUUUUUUAUUUUGAACUUCAGUUGCAUACAAAUUAUCCAAAAAGAAGACGGAAGACACAUUCAAAUUGCUGCACACUAUUCUCUAUGGGCGGCGUGGAAAGGUGAUGUCCUGACUUGUAGUUCUUUUCCUUUCCUGAUCUGUCUCGGAAUUGUAUUGUUUAUCUUGCUCUUGGUCUUCCCAUUUUAUAACUAGUUAUGUCCAUUAAGUUCUCUUCUUGACUAUGGAUAGGUUUCUUUAAUAGAGCUAUUAACUUUUCUCUCAUGAGUACAUUAAAGAAAGCCUUGGAAAGCUACACGUUUUUUUGUGCUAUAUCAAUCAAUUCUUUGAAACUUUCAAGUUUCUUUUCUAGUUCCGUAUUCUAUUAGUGAACUUGCUCUUUUUUUUUAGUAAUCAGCAAAAAAAAGAAGAAGAAAGAACUUACUUCUUUCUAACACACUGAACACUGUUAUACGCUGAUAUGUGAUAUCAUAGCUUUGCUAUUUGCAAUAAUUAAAAGGAAAAAAAUGCUAUGGUCAUCUUAUGUCCUCUGUGUCCUCCAAGAGGAAUGAUAGAAUUAUCUUACUUUGAUUUUCAAGAGUUGGCAUAAUUCAGACAAUAUCUUGUUUGAUAGUUCCAAUAAAUGUAGACCAGUCCGGAUAGUAAGUAGUUGUGGAAAGGCUUAAAUAUUGAAAAUAUUUAUCAACAUAGCUUGAACCUGAAGAUUCCAUAGGAUCACAGUCUCGAAAUAUAUUUAUAGACUUACUGCUUACAUCUGUGAAUAUUUGUUGGUCUUAUAAUCCUGUGUUGAUACAUUUUAUUUAACUGGAGAAGUUGACGGGGAAGAGAGAAAUGAAUGAAUGUUCUUUUGGGAAAACGUAUAAUAAUAAUAAUCCUGCCACGUUGAAAGCCAAAGGUGAGACUCCUAGGUGGACGAAGAAAAAUGAAAAGAAAACUUAAAAAGAAUCUUUAAUGUGUUUGGAACUUAGGAUGGGUGCAUUGUGCACAGUGCAGAACUGGAGUUUCACUUGUUCAUGAUGGCACUAUGUCCUCAUGUCCUUUCAGAAAGUAGAAUCCUGAAGUUGAACUUCACAAAGUCUACUCUUUAUGACUCAUCCUGUAUCAUGUGAUAGCCUAAAAGUUUUGGCUUUGCUUGAUAUUAAUUAUUUCACAAAAAGUCGUUUUUCUUCUUCCCUCAUCUUUCACCUUGAAAGGAGGAUAGAAUCGGUAUAUGAAAUUACCAAGGUGAAGCGAACAUUUCACCUUUUAUCUUGAGGAAAUUACCUGUCGGUGGGAGAUAACAGGUCCCAAGUGGAAUUAGUUGAGGCGCACGAAAGUUGGCCUGGACACCAUGGUUAUAAAUAAUAAUGUUGUGGGUACUCUAAUGUAUUUUGAAUUUUGUUUGAGCCAUAUUGUAGUUUACUUUUCUUAUUUCACAACUCAAAAGCAGUGACAACUGAAGUGAUACAUCUAAUUUUGAGAUCAUUUGCAACCUAAGUCCACGAGGAAGCUUGUACUUCUUUAAGAAAAAAGAAAUGCUUUAUAAACUAUAUCUAGUUUCUAAAGAGUCACAUCUGCAACCUAAGUGCCAUAUCAUUUCUUUUCAGCUGACACUGAGGUACUUUUUUUUUUCCAGCAAUCAGUUGAAACUUUCUGAUAUCUGCAAUUUAUUCCCUGUAAGAAAAAGUCUUGCAAAUAUUUACCAUAGUGUGCUUGUCUGCGUUUGAUUGCAAGUUUUGUUGAACAUGAGAUUUUCCUUUAUUUUCUUCUUGCAAUUAUGAUGAUUUGAAGCAUUUAGCAUGAUUUUUCUUACUGAUAAUUUCAUUAGGAUUAUUCUGCUUGUUACUUGAUCACCACUUGUGGAAUUAGUCAGCAGCUCAUUCCGCUAGAUUGAUAUUCACUUUUAAUCUUGCUUUCCUAGUUUCAUCAUUUAUUUAUUUUUCUCAUAGUUCUUGUCCUUCGCAGGCAGCCCAGAUCAAGAGUAAUAUUUCACGGUUUUCUGGCUUUGUCUGGCAUGAAAAUGAGGUAAAUGACAUCUCAUGUUGUGUAAGGAUGCAUGUAUGAGUAAACGACUAUUCCGUUCCCUUUUUGCCUGAGAUGGUGAUCUGGGGAAAUUUGAGCAUAAACCUUCUCUUUGUUUGCUCAUACUGGUUGUAUAUGUAUCUCAUUCAUUGUUUCUCAGAAAAUUGCGUCUCAUCCAUUAUCUUAUGUUUGAGCUUCUAGAAGUUCUCAAGGUUAGGUCAUUGUAAUGUUGCAGGAAAAGCAAAAGAUGAAAGUAAAAGAAAAGCUUGACAAGUAUAUUAAAGAGAAGCUGUUGGAAUUCUGUGAUGUACUGGAUAUACCUGUUACCAAAGCUACUUCAAGAAAGGUGUGUUCAUAUGUUUUAGCUGCAUGUUUUAUAUUUCACUCAAGUAGUUCUUUUCUCACUCAAGUGCAAUUUAUUUUAUGAGAAUUACAUAUGUAGGCUAAAUAGGAAGAAGAUAUUUUUCCUUUUGAAUAUUUUGACUGAAAAAAUUGCUUUCAUCUUCAACCUGUCACUUUGUACUAUGUGAAGAUUGCAUCUUGUAUACAAUCUUCCUCUCAAGCGUCUUAACUAAUUAGGAGAUUUAUAUGAUCAGGAAGACAUGGUGGUAAAGUUGAUGGACUUUUUGGAAGCUCCUCAUGCUACAACUUCUGAGUUGCUUGCCGAGAAGGACCAGGUGGGUGACUUCUGACUGUGAUAAAAGCAUUUGUCACUUAUUCUGUUAGUUUAUAUAGUAUGCUGACACAGCUCCGGUCAAAUGAAUAGUCAAGUAGAGGAAAGAAGCGGAGAAGAGAGAGCAAAAAAAGUCCCUCAUCGGCAUCCGCUAGCUCGAAAGGUUCAACCAAGGUAUUUCUCUCUCAUUAACAUUUAUUUAAGUUCUAGUAGUGAAAUAAUACCAACUGAAAUAUGGUUUUCCAUUUGCAACUGGCAACUUGUAUCCUGUAGUUUUAACUCUUAAUUAUAUUUCACGAACAAAAUUUGAUAAAAUUAAUCAAAUUUCAUUGCACAAAAUUUUUUGUUGUAGUUUUACCUGUUCCCGUCUUGAGUUUAUGAAUCCACAUUCUAAGAUCUCAGAGGGUUAGUAUCACCAUGACUUAACAGUGUAGAAGUUGCCAAAAUUGCUUGCAAUUUAUUCCUGCUGCUUUGAAGUGGCUUUGUCUUGGAAAUGUUCGACUGCUAAUCUGAUUUUUAUAGAGUGAGAUCUUUUUACCUUAAUGAAAAAGAAGAAAAAGUCAUCUUACAGUAAGCUGAAAUUUUGCUGUCUGGAUUAAUACUACAUAUGUUUUAAGAACAGUCAUCAUGUUUAUUACCAUAUGUUGUUUUCGAAUUAGAAUAAGAAAAAAGAAAGGGCGGAGCUGUGCUUUUACAUCAAUAUUUUAUUUGGGGGGUGUUUGGUUUUCUUUUUCACAAUACAGAGUGGAAAGAAGGCCGAAACUGCACAAAAGGCUGAAAAGAAGAAGAAUGUGCAAGAGUCAGAAGAUGAAUCUGAGCAAGAAGUAGAUGUCCAUGAGGAGGAAUCUGAAGAGGAAAAGACUAAUGGUGUUCCUGAGAGAUCUGAUGAUGAGAAGUCAGAUCAGGCUGAAAGUGAGAAGGAGAGUGAAUCUGAAGAUGAGCCAGAGACUGAGCCGGAGCCAGAGCC
Molecule: long non-coding RNA, 5450 nt
Filed under: Solanum tuberosum (potato)
Lineage: Eukaryota; Viridiplantae; Streptophyta; Magnoliopsida; Solanales; Solanaceae
Description: long non-coding RNA (STUB_LNC007768)
Source: RNAcentral